Molecule: non-coding RNA, 24 nt
Filed under: Gossypium hirsutum (cotton)
Lineage: Eukaryota; Viridiplantae; Streptophyta; Magnoliopsida; Malvales; Malvaceae
Source: RNAcentral
GAUGCCGUCAAUGACAGAGGUGAC